AACGAACGCUGGCGGCAGGCCUAACACAUGCAAGUCGAGCGAGGACUUCGGUCCUAGCGGCGGACGGGUGAGUAACGCGUGGGAACGUGCCCUUUGCUUCGGAAUAGCCCUGGGAAACUGGGAGUAAUACCGGGUGAGCCCUUUGGGGGAAAGAUUUAUCGGCGAAGGAUCGGCCCGCGUUGGAUUAGGUAGUUGGUGGGGUAAUGGCCUACCAAGCCGACGAUCCAUAGCUGGUUUGAGAGGAUGAUCAGCCACACUGGGACUGAGACACGGCCCAGACUCCUACGGGAGGCAGCAGUGGGGAAUCUUAGACAAUGGGGGAAACCCUGAUCUAGCCAUGCCGCGUGAGCGAUGAAGGCCUUAGGGUUGUAAAGCUCUUUCAGCUGGGAAGAUAAUGACGGUACCAGCAGAAGAAGCCCCGGCUAACUCCGUG
RNAcentral lists this ribosomal RNA (433 nucleotides) under uncultured bacterium. RNAcentral's name for it is "partial 16S ribosomal RNA". It matches the Rfam family "Bacterial small subunit ribosomal RNA", at positions 29 to 507 of the family's 1533-position model. The record is from RNAcentral.